Daphnia carinata is the source of this 6840-nucleotide RNA transcript. It is a transcript of the gene named protein hobbit-like, with no coding region annotated. Lineage: Eukaryota; Metazoa; Arthropoda; Branchiopoda; Diplostraca; Daphniidae. The record is from RefSeq and is a predicted model, not a curated record. The transcript has 28 exons.
UAGCGGAGCCUUGUUCAAAAUCAGACGACUUAUUAUGUAAAUAAAUAAAAAUGGGUAGCCUGCAAUGGUUUCUACUUUUCUUCGUAAUUCUUUUCUUUGUUUUUAAACGUCUCCUUUUGUAUGCGUUAAACUUGAUCUUCACCCACAAGCUGAAAAUCGAAGUUCGUCUUGGUCAAGUCGCACUUCUCCCACCUUCUGUUCAGAAUACUUAUUUUCUGUUCAAAAAUUUCACUGUUCAUAUUGAUAAAGUGAGACUAACAUCAUCAUUUGUAAAUGCUGACACUAAGAGAUUACUGGGAUUGCUCAUAGAAGAUGUCAGAUUUACAAGAGAUUGUAGUGCUAGUAGAAAUACAUCACACGAAGCUUCCAUACUAAACCCAAGUGAAACCAACAGAGUUAAUCUGCUUGAAAAAAUUUUACCUGUUCUGACAUCAUUUGUUCAGUUUAUGUGUGUCUCAAUCAGCAAUGUGACAAUUGUAGCUCAGUUGAACAACAACCAGCUAGUUCAUGCUUCUAUCAAUAACCUGAGUUUAGAUGGAAGUAUUUUACCACGUUCACAGAUUGCACUCUGUGGGCUAGUUGAUGCAUUUUCAUUUCGUCUUCUACAGACAGUAGCCACCAAUGAAAGGGAAGGAAAAAUCACUCAUUCAUCACAUUCUAUUGAUACAAGAUCACGGCAGCCUUGUUUAUCAGAAUUUUCAGUUGGAGUACAAUCUGAAAUUCAUGUUGACCCAGUUUUACCAGCUGUCACGAAAUUAAUGUUAAAUAUUUCAAAUCCAAAACUGUCUGUUAAUGACAGACUUUUGAAGGCUCUUGAAGCAAAAAAUGUUCAAGAAAGUGGUCCUCUGCAAAAGAACCACUUGACAAAUUGGUCUCUCUAUUUUCCUCGCAAAUGCGAGUUCAACAUCUCGGGCAUCGAAAUUAAAUUGUACAGACAUGAGGACGAAACUUUUUUCGUACGUACUUCUUUAAAUCUCUUGGAAGUGACGGCAGAUACAACUUUAGAUAGUAGAAGUGGCGACAGUUUAUUUGACACGAACGUUAAGCUACACACUCAAGUGUUGUAUUCAGAAACGAAAUCUGGGCGGUGGUUUAAUUUGAGUGAAUUGGACGCAACUGUUCAGGUUUUCUCUGGUAACAUCGAUUCAACAGUGAACGCAAAUCGCAUAGCAAUUGUUUAUUCAAAUACCGAGUUGUUACCUUGGCUUAAACUGAUACCUUUCAAGAAGAAAAAAGCCAAACCUGAAGAUAAAACUGCAUCUUCCCGGCAAACCCCACUUACGCUCAAUUUUGAAGUGUGGGACCUUUCCGCUGUAGCAUUGUUUCAGGAUGCAUUACCGCUGCGCAGUGGCAUAACACACGUGCAGAUUCAACUAGUCGAUCAUCCGGCUACUGGUGGAUUAAGUUGUGAAUUGGAAGGCGAAACUGUCUGGUGUUGUUUAGGAAACAGAACGCCGUCUGAUCCCGGUCAAAAGAAAGUUCAUUUCUGGAAUUCGCCUCUUUACAUCGGACUCGUAAUUGGAAAAAUUGAAAGGCGUUUAGGAGUCCUUGGAAUGAGUGAUUCGAUGCAUAGCCAAUUAUUGUUAGAUGUCCUCCGCUUCGAAUGGUCACCAAAUCUUAUCGAAACUAUUCUUACAAUUCGGAAAGAUCUGCCGCGGUGGGGGGAAGUUGAAGGUGCAUCGGUUCCAGAAGAAAAGACCCCAAUGCGCCUUUCGCAUUCUCUCACAGUGGCCAGCGCUAAUAUUUUCUUGAUGAUGAAAAAAGAAUGUGCUUUAAUGCUCCGCGUCGAUUCUUUAGCUGCUGACCAACAACCAGACAAAAUGGUAGCGUCUAUAGAGGGGCUUAAAGGGCUUUUUAUCGUUCCCGGAGCUCCUUUUAGUUGCGCUAAAUCGUUUGAAAUUAAGAAGGGAAACCUUGAAUUGUUGCGCCUGCAGUUAUCGUUGCGCAAAUCGUCCCAAUCGGGGACCAUUGACGUGGAUCAGCUUGGCCUUAACUGGGAUACGCGUCUGCAUAUGGCUGUCUUACAAGUGAUUGAAGAAUGGAAAGGCUUCCGUGAUCAUUUCACUCAAUCGAAACCUGUUAAAACCUCAUCUUCCAAUCAGUGUGAAUCCGAAACCAAGCAAAGUUGGACCGUUUCCCUAAAACACAAAACUACCAUAUGUGCAAUACUUUCUCCUGCUCACACUAUGCAAUUUCAAGCUGACGACUCACGAGCAGUCGUCAACGGCCAUCAGAGAACCACGUUUGAAUUGAAUUUGCCGCGCUGUGCAUUACUUUUUGAUGGCCAUUCCAUCAUUGAAGCCGAAGGAUUGAAUUGGAAGCUGGCCGACAACGAUCUAGAUCUCAAACAAGAAAGACUUAGCUUUGAUUGUCAAGCAAUCACAAACAAAUGUGGACUUGUCAGUAUAGCCGGUUUACGUGUUUGCUUCCCCUAUCGCUACCAAUUUUCCGAAGCAUGUCAACAGGAAAUGGUCAGCGUCUUCAAGUGGCUAAAAUCGUUGCACAAAAAACCACGACCUGCUGGAUAUGUAGAACCUCUUUAUCGUGACAUCCGUCUAUCUGUCGCGAAAUUCUCGAUGGUCUUAUGUGACGAUCCGUUUGAGGUAAAGCUUCGCGAUAACUACGAAUUGCGAGAAGAUGAAUUCCGUGAGAGCCUCAAGCGUAAACGAAUGUUGGAUGCAAAAAUCGAAGAGUUGCGAAGAACACAUCCACUUUUAACGCAAGGCAAAAUUGAUGAACUGUAUGCGAACUUAGGGGGUCGGAAUGUGGAAAUAUUUGUCCAGCGAGCACAACGUAUGUAUGAGACAAGACCCAUGCGAACAGCUUUAUUUCGCUGGGAAAUGGAGCAAGUUGAUAUCGUGGCUUUAGCCGAUCCAUCUUUCCACGGCUACGCCAAUGUUGUUCGUAAUAUUCAAGAAAUGGAUCCGGAUAGCCCGUGGCCCGAUGAAGCAAUGGAAUUCACCACGCUUUGGUGUCGUGCUGUCCGCGCAACCUGUCGUCAAUGGCGAUUUUUACUUCGAGAUUUCCCUCAACCUCUCCUUGACAUUCACGAACUGCUCUUGUUCGGUCGACUGGCUGGGGCUGAACAGCAAUCGUCGUGGAGAGCCCGACGAACUUGUAACGUGUUCAUAGCACCUCCUUGGAGCGAUGUUGAAAUUGAACGGGGAAUGAACCAACUUAAAUUUUAUCAUGAUUUUUCGUGUGAUGCCGAAAGCUGGCGGCUGGCCUAUGGAACUUGCUGGGAACCGGUAAUAGCACAAUGCAAUCUUGCUUGGGAUUUUGUUUCUCCUCCGUCCAAGGAUCCUAGUCCAGCCUUGCCCUUCUGGGACAAAAUGCGUCUACUUUUCCAUGGUCGCAUAACUCUGUCCGUCCAACAGUUAACUCUUCUGCUUCACACAUCGUUGGAUCCUUAUAACACUACAGAAGAAAUGGAAUUAACAUGGACGGAUCUGGCUAUGGAUUGGACCAGUGCAAAUUUCAUUCUGAAAGGCGAGUUCAAUGUCUAUGUUCGGACGGCAUCCAAGUACGAUGAUUGUCGCUUAUUACAUUUACCGCGACUAAAGUUGUCGAUUGGAUUGACAUGGCACUGUUUGGCUGAUCCCAAUGACCACCUUGCUGUCCAACCAUGUGCUCCCAACAGAAUCCCAGAGUAUUCCAGCAAUCAGGAACAUGAUUCCUAUCGCGCUUUCCGAUCACAGAGUGUUACGUUGGCCGUUUCGUUAGAAACCAAAGCAAGUGUUAGUAGUUCGAGUAGCAGCGCAGCUGAAGUCCAUGCUCUGGUUUACGGCUCUACAUUACGGUGGUUCGAAAACCUAAAGUUUAUACUUUCGGGUGUAUCGAGACCUACCCGCCGCGGCCCAUUAUUUCAAAAUACCAAGCCCCGUAAAAGCCAGCUUUCACGCCACUAUAAGGCUGUGCGUUUGGCUUUGAGUCUUCACCGCUUCCACAUUUACUACUGGAUGUCGGCGUCGAUGCAACGAGGGUUCGAACUCAUUUGUGGACGAUUGACAUUGAGCUCGGAACAUGCGUUACGACUAGUCCCUGUUGAAGACGGGCUCAAGCAUCGCCCGCGAGCUGAUUGGUCCAUCGUCUUUUUAAACUGCGAAUUAAAUGAGGCUGAAGUCUGGCUUCAAAGUGCUCUUGGUAGUGACAGUGAUGAUAACGCAGAGUUAAACGUGUCUCUACGCCAACCAGUAGAGAAAUUUUAUUUCCUUAGUGUCCAACGAGUCUCGUACGGCCGAGAAGCCGUUUUGACACCGCCUUUCGUAGCUCCCGGAACAGCUUCGAUUGUACCGACACAUCGCUUGGUCGUGCAAGAUUUGCGUGCCGCAUGGACAAAGAGUAACCGUCAAGUGGCUUUCGCUUUAUACGAUUCUUGGGUUAAAGCGCAAGUGCUAAAGAGAAAUCUUUCAGCCGAGGUGAUGAAGCUUCUCAGGAUGCCAGAAUCGAGUGUCUCACCCAUGAAACCACGAACAGCAGCCCGGAUUAGUACAGAAGGUGCGCAACCCACUCCCUGUAAAUCAAACACAGGCAGUACUUCCAGCAGCUCUACCACGUCGACUGCUGCAACAGCUUCAACACCAGUAGCCGAUUCGAUGCUUCAACAACUCUUGGCCGACCAUCGAAACGUAGUAUUCAGUGAGGACCUUAGCACAACUGGCAGCCGGCCGGCUGUCACUGGAACGAGUACUAGUGAGGGGCAAGAAGGCGUCCACCUAAACUGGUUAAUUGAGCUUGUUAACAGCCAGGUGUUGUUGAAAGGGUGUGAAACAAAGGGAUACAUCAUUUUGGCAGCUGCUCAUGCCAAAAUUCUGCAAAGACUUCACCCGCCUGUCUGGCGUGAUAGAAGCUUAGUCUCUAAGACUUCUUGGGUCUGCUCGUUUGAUGGCAUGCAGUACUUUGCCACCAUAAGUGCCGGAGAGCAGGACGCUCUCGACGAGAACAUACUUUGGCUCAGUACUGAUCAUAUUGGCAGUGCGGCUAGAGCAGAAAGCCAAGCGCCAUCAUCACUGGAUUGCCUUCCCGACAUGGUUGGAAGUGGCCAGAGCGUCGGAGGAGUCAUUUCAGAAACUGUUGGCGGAUGCGACUCAUCUGCUCUUCAACUACAAAGGAUCGUUUCCCGUUGUAACUGUGAGAUGGUGUAUGUCAGCUAUGGACAAAACACUUUAGAUCUGGAUCACGAUCUAGAAGGGCUUAUGGAUAUACCUCCGCCUCCAAGUGACGAUGUUAUGGAUUUGUGGGCCCAACGAGAGCAGCCCGUCGAUUCGUUCACUCUAACGCAUCACGACCUAAACAUUUGCACCAAUUCCCUUCAGUACGAAAUGUUAUUGGACGUCAUCAAUAACCUCCUGCUCCAUGUCGAACCCCAUCGAAAAGAAGCCAGUGAACGAUUGCAAAGGUUACGCUUUCAACUGCAGCUCUCUAGUACCGAAGAUCAGCGACGUCCAGUUCAACAAAUUCAGAACCAACUCCGUUCGCUUAUUUCUCAGCUUAGGCGUCUGGAGAAAGAUACCUUUAUGAUCCAGCGUGCCCUAGCCGAAGAUCCGUCAAACGCACAGCUCAUUGCUGAAUUUGAAUCACUCGAACGCAAAGUAUAUGAAUGCAAGGAGCAGUUGAACGCGGCAAAUGAAGAAUUAGCCAUGAUGGUAUCAUGCCUUAAAGAGGUUCAAUUAACUGCUCACCAGCGUCUACAAGCCGCCCGACAAGGCAGUAAUGUCACUACCGUUCGGACAAGUCAAAUCAAUUUUAAGCACGCUCAAUGGCGACUUACAGAAGCUGACGGCCAGCUUGGAAUUGCCGACGUCGUACUUACAAACUUUUUAUACAACAAGUUAUCCAAAAGUGACGAUGCCUGCGAGCACUCGUUGGAAAUUGGUUAUGUCAGCUUGGCCAAUCUAUUGCCUAAUCAAAUCUACAAGCAAGUCAUCGUUCCAACCGAACUGAACCGCAAUAUGCCAGUCGACCGACAGGUCGCCGUGCGUAUGUUUUCAAGAGAUAAAGCCCCUGUCGGAGGUAUUUGCAUCAAAGAGAUCUUUGAAGUUAAUGUCGUGCCUUUCACAUUUGCGAUGACUUAUCAAUUUUUCAAAACGAUGAUGCGCUUCUGCUUCCCUGAAAAGGACCCCGAAACAUUAGACGGAGAAGGUGAGCAUUCAGAGUCCUCGAAUGUGAGCCGUAAAGGAGGCAAACAUUUUAGCAACGUAAACAAGGCUAAACGAGGCAAAGAGUCGAGUUUCUAUGUUCCGAUUGAAGACGAUGUUGAAAAAAUGAAGGAAAGGGCUGAAAAGAACAAAUUAUUCAUCUACAUAAAAAUCCCCGAAGUCCCUGUCAAGGUUUCCUAUAAGGGAGGAAAAGAGAAAAACAUCGAAGACGUCCAUGAAUUCUCCUUGGUUGUCCCCACAUUGGAAUAUCAUAACGUCACAUGGACAUGGCUUGAUUUAUUUCUUGCCAUGAAAAAUGAUUCUAAACGUGUCCUUCUCUCACAAGCAAUAAAACAAAAACUACAAAUACGGCCUCGCUCUCACGUUGAGGAGGGCGGUACACCGCAGGAAGAAGACAAGGCACGUCUACUUUUGGGUGGACUUUCCAUGCCCGGUGAUGCUCGUUCCAGCAAAAGAGGGGGAUUUUGGAAACCUGCAAAGUAAUGGCUGGUUUGGUACUUCACUACGUUUUUCCCUAGGCAAUUGGAAACAUCAUUUAAAAUUUCGGCUCAUCUUUUUGUUUUAUAUUGCAAAUCGGCACAAAUCUGAAAAUGUAACGUUUGCUAUUGCAGACGAUGCCACCAUGAACCCUAGUUUCUAGCUCAGUGAAGUAAUUUUCAAUGUGCUGGAAUUUUUCUUAGAA